AUUGAACGCUGGCGGCAUGAUUUACACAUGCAAGUCGAACGGCAGCGCGGGGCAACCUGGCGGCGAGUGGCGAACGGGUGAGUAAUAUAUCGGAACGUACCCAGAAGUGGGGGAUAACGUAGCGAAAGUUACGCUAAUACCGCAUACGAUCUACGGAUGAAAGUGGGGGACCUUCGGGCCUCAUGCUUUUGGAGCGGCCGAUAUCUGAUUAGCUAGUAGGUAGGGUAAAGGCCUACCUAGGCGACGAUCAGUAGCUGGUCUGAGAAGACGACCAUCCACACUGGAACUGAGACACGGUCCAGACUCCUACGGGAGGCAGCAGUGUGGAAUUUUGGACAAUGGGCGCAAGCCUGAUCCAGCAAUGCCGCGUGAGUGAAGAAGGCCUUCGGGUUGUAAAGCUCUUAUGUCAGGGAAGAAACGGUUGGGGCUAAUAUCCUCGGCUAAUGACGGUACCUGAAGAAUAAGCACCGGCUAACUACGUGCCAGCCGCCGCAGUAA
RNAcentral lists this ribosomal RNA (498 nucleotides) under uncultured bacterium. RNAcentral describes it as "partial 16S ribosomal RNA". It matches the Rfam family "Bacterial small subunit ribosomal RNA", at positions 30 to 523 of the family's 1533-position model. The record is from RNAcentral.